RNAcentral lists this unclassified non-coding RNA (334 nucleotides) under soil metagenome. RNAcentral describes it as "partial contains 5.8S ribosomal RNA, internal transcribed spacer 2, and large subunit ribosomal RNA". The stretch from base 1 to 120 matches the Rfam family "5.8S ribosomal RNA", at positions 35 to 154 of the family's 154-position model. The record is from RNAcentral.
GAUGAAGAACGCAGCGAAAUGCGAUAAGUAAUGUGAAUUGCAGAAUUCAGUGAAUCUUCGAAUCUUUGAACGCACAUUGCGCCCGCCAGUAUUCUGGCGAGCAUGCCUGUUCGAGCGUCAUUUCAACCAUCAAGCCCCAGGCUUGUGUUGGAGCCCUGCGGCUGCCGCAGCCUCCCAAAACCAGUGGCGGGCUCGCUAUCACACCGAGUGCAGUAGUUUACUCUUCGCUCAGGGCGUGUGGCGGGUGCUAGCCGUGAAACCCCCAACUUCUCAAGGUUGACCUCGGAUCAGGUAGGAAUACCCGCUGAACUUAAGCAUAUCAAUAAGCGGAGGA